Molecule: unclassified non-coding RNA, 500 nt
Filed under: Hevea brasiliensis (rubber tree)
Lineage: Eukaryota; Viridiplantae; Streptophyta; Magnoliopsida; Malpighiales; Euphorbiaceae
Source: RNAcentral
GAAUGCAUAAUUAGCAUGCGACACCAAAGAAUUCGGAUUGUAACAUUUGCCUCCGGGUUGGAUCUCAUCACAAGUCCGAUUACCCUGCCCACAAGCAUACGACAUUGCUCCACCCAACUCCGAUGCAUUUGCACUUCUACUAACAACACACCAAAUUUUCCCUGUGUACGGUUCAUUGUUCCUUGCUCUCGGCAACGCUUUAUAUUCAGAUUCAGGCGUCUUACCAGACAAGUCUAUCCCGUAUAUGUUUGUUCCAUUAGGAUACAAUAACCCGAAAUGCCUCUCUGUACCUGGACCCGGUUUUUGAUUCUCAUUAUACAAUGCAAAUAAUAAUGUCGGCACAACAACUCCAGGUUUAGCUGGGGUUCCAAUAGGUGGCUUAACUGUAAACUUCUUUAUCACAUUACGAUUGUACGUUGCUGCAUUGUAGAUGUUCGCUCCAAUUUGAUCCACCCCACCGGCAUUAGGCCAACCCGUUUCUGCAAUAAAUAACCGAACAU